This 4362-nucleotide long non-coding RNA is filed under the name Homo sapiens (human). Its description in RNAcentral is "non-protein coding lnc-IRS1-2:8". The record is from RNAcentral. Lineage: Eukaryota; Metazoa; Chordata; Mammalia; Primates; Hominidae.
AUUCUACUGACUCCAAGUUCACGCAGCUGUUCAUCCCCUGCUUAAUGUACUGGGUUCAACAGAUGGCUAAGGUUGAUGUUUCUGCUCGAGAGUCAUCUUCAUGGAUUUGCAGAAGACCCCACUCCUGAAAUCCCUUUCACCUGGGCCGAUGCAUCUAAUUAUGAUGGUAGAUUGAAAGCUUUUCAGCUCCCAGGGACACAGCAUUCAUUUCCAUCUUCUCCUGUGGGGAUCCCUGGCCCAUCUAGUUGGAUUUCUUAGAAGGACUUAAGGGCUCUACAUUGGUUCUCUCUCCCACAUAAAACAAGGAAGGGAGCAUAUUUGCUCCUUUAUUCCAGCACUCUGAAGUGCAGGCAGGCCCUCCCCAAGGCAGUGACCCCUACCCCUCUACCUGAAGCCACUAUGCCUUUGGCAGUCAUGAGUCAAGCUGAGCCCAUAUUUCCCACACAUUCCAUGGCCCUCUGAAUCAUUACGUAGUCACUCCUCACUAGACUUGGGAUGGAAUGGGGUACCACUACCUGUGGAAGAAGAAUGACACCAUGGCCAGUAACAGCUCUCUCCCAAGGCAUCUCUCCACUGUGCUCUCUUUCCCUCUCCUCUGUAAAUACUUUUAUAGCCUUGAAAAAAAGGAGGAGACAUAAGAAUUAUGCAAUAGUUUUUUUUUAACCUUUGUAAAAUCUGUUUAUAGUAAACUCUCUCAUACACAUCUUGUUAUCUGAUGUUAAUUAUUGGAACCUCAUUCAAAGCUAUGUUAGAAAGAGCCCCAUUUAAGCUUCUCUUAAAUUUAUAAAAGAAAAUUGUUCAUAAAUUAAAUUAUAAGGAAAAGAAAGUUGAUUUUCUAUAUUCUUCCAUGUUUGAUCUUUCCACAUGGUCAUGGAAACCACCUCACGCCUCUUAAUUUUUUAGUUCUUUUGACAGAAAACACAGAAACUAUGGUUCCCAACACCAUAGGGCAGUACUACCACAGUCUCCACCACCUCAAGCAAUAGACUUUCCAACCUCUUCUCUCCAUUAAACUUCUCUAUUACCAGACUCUUACUAAAUUAUCUUACUAAAGAUAGUUUUUGAAUGUCUCUCUUGUGCUAAGAAUUGUAGAGUUCUGGUGGCAGAAGAUGACAGAGAGUUUUUUUUCUUUUUGUCCUAGAAGAAUUUAUAGUUUAUUCUAGUUCUUUCCAUUGGAAUCUGAAACAAUAUACAAAAACAGUGCAAUAGUUUUUUUCAAUACAUUUUGAUCAAUGUGGAAAUACAUUUUUGUAACAGUUGAGGAUUCAUACUGUAUAUUAUAACGUUGGUCAGAAUAACUGAGUCUGAUGAUUGAGUUGGGAGACGCAUGGUGGGGCACGGAAGAAUGUGCCCCUUUAGGUCAGAGGUAAGCUGGUGCCACCAAAAGGAACUUUGUUUAUCACAAUCCACUAGAACUUUUAAUUUCUUUGUGUUUGUAUUUUCUUUCAUAGGACAAGGUCAGGGAAAUAAGCAUUUCUACUCAAACUCCCAAAUAGUACUGAAAGAAUACCAAAUGAAUAGGACUAUAAUGGUAUAUUUUAAACAUUUUUUUCAAAAGAAUUGGCAUUUACCUUUUAACUCCUUCAAUGUCACCCUAAGCUCUAGUGCUAGUAACUCAGAAAAUUUAACAACCACUGAUCCAUUCACUAUUAAAGAAAAUGUUAUAAACUCAUUUGGACUGAGGUGUUAAUUGUUAUUUUUAAGGUUAAUGGUUAUUAGUUGUUCUUGAUCUUCUAGGAUAACAUUUGCAUUUUAGGCUUUAAAAAAAAUCCCAAAUGUCCUUAAACCUGAAGGACUUGGUUAGAUAAAUAUUUUGGGGAAUGAUGGCAAAGCCUGCUGUGGCAAUUUUUUGAUAGGGUGAAUACCAGUACUGGCUGAUCCUCCCACUCAAGAAACACACUUAAAUCCAGUGUUGGCUUUGGGAAUGCUGAGAAAACAUUGGCUUUGGGAAUAGAGAAAGAAAACAUCAGUAGAAAAAUGAAAAACAGAAGUGAUUUGAAGGACAGCUUUAGGCUUCACCAUAUUCUGUACCCAUUAAAUAACUCCCCAUUUUUCCCUACUCCCAGUCCCUGACAACCACCAUUUUAAUUUCUAUUUUUAUGAAUUUGACUAAUCUAGAUAACUUCAUGUAAUUAAAAUCAUACAACUUUUACCUUUUUGUGAUUGUCUUAUUUUAUUUAGCAUAAUGUCAUUAAGAUAUAUCCAUGUUUAACCCAUGCCAGAAUUUUCUUCCUUUUUAAGGCUGAAUAGUAUUUCGUUAUGUGUAUACACCACAUUUUGUUUAUUCAUUCAGCUAUGGAUAGAAACUUGGGUUGCUUUUAUUUUUCGCUAUUGUAGACAGUGCUGCCGUGAGCAUGGGUAUGCAAAUAUCUCUUCAGGAUCCUGCUUUCAAUUCUUCUGGAUAAAUAUAAAGAAGUGAGAUUGCUGGAUCACAUGACAAUUCUACUUUUUAUUUUUUGAGGAACUUCCAUACUGUUUUUCACAGUGUCUGCACAAUUUUACAUUCCCACCAACAGUGUACAAAGGUGUCAAUUUCUCUGCAUCCUCACCAGCACUGGUUAUUUUCUGGGUUUUUUUUUUUUUCUUUUUGAUAGUUGCCAUUUUCAUGGGUGGGAGUGAUAUCUCAUUGUGGUUUAGAUUUGCAUUUCUCUAAUGAUUAAUGAUGUUGAGUAUCUUUUCAUAUGUUUGUUGAUCAUUUGCAUAUCCUCUUUGGAGAAAUGUUUAUUCUUUUGCCCAUUUUAAAAUCAAGUUUCAAUGCUUCCUGCUAUUUAUUUUAAAUGUGCUUUACAAGUUAGAACUUGUGAAUUUUGACCAGCAUGAUGUAAUGCCACUCAGCAUGGCUUUUCAGGCUGGUGUCGGGCUGGUAGAAGGAUGAGUUAGAAUGAGCAAGGCCAAAACUCAGAGUUCAGACAGGGGCAGGGGAAGAUAGAUAGUCCAGAGAGAAUCAUUCCUUUCUUCCUUCAUGCAAACACACGUGCAAAUAGCAAGGAUUUGUUCCAUGCUGCCAUGUGCUAGGCACUGAGCUAGAGAUAUGAAAAGGGACACAAAGUGGGACAGGAUACCUUUGGGGUUUGGAAGGUAGAAUCUGCACUUAGACUGCUUGGGUGUGAAUUUUAGCUGCAGUAUCUGCAGCGUGUGGACAUAUUUUGACUGGGUUACAUCAUAAAGAGCUUUUAUCUCAUGCUAAGGGCUUACUUGUAAAGCUGUAAGACUGGGACCCAUUGAAGGGUUUUAGGUAUUACAAGCUUCAAAGAAAAACAAAUGAAAUAAUCUAAACUUUUAAGGAAACUAUCAUAGAAAGACAGAUUUAGAAAACAGAAAGGGGAAUAAAAUCCCCCUAAAAGCAAGGGCUGUAAUGGACACAAUUAAAUGCUAGGGUCUUGGUUCUAUAGUUCUAUAGUUGACUAGUUAUAUGACCUGACAAAGUCAUUUUAACUCUCUGGCCCAAGGUUUUCUUAUAUAUAAAACAGGGAUAAUGCCUUACAAAACUUAAAAAAAAUAAUUAACUAAGAAGAUGUACUCAAAAGUGUAUUGCAAGGGUUUCUUUUUUAAUUUUUCUUUCUUUUUUUUUUUUUUUUUUUUUUGGCACACAGGAGCAGUAUGCUGUGUUUUAAAGGACAUUUUAAAAAUUGGCUUGGUUUCCUCUACUCACACCAUUUUAGCCCCCGCAUUUGGGGCUAUUUCACCCUCAUUUGCAAGCUUAGACCCGAGCCAGGGUCUGAGAUUCAUCAGGCUCCAACCCAUGCCAGUUUAGUUUUUUUCUGAUGUUUUUCUUUUUUUUCCCCCCAGAAAUUUGGCUAUUAUACUUUAAAAAAAAAAAAAAAUCUUGCUUAGACUGUUUGCUCCCCUAUUUUCUUCUUCCCUUUCCCCUCAGCAUCAUGUAUUGGAAAAAAGGUGAAAGUCUGGAUUAAUGAAUCCAAAAAUUAAUGUUACCUUGUAUUUUUACCUGUAUUGUUACUUGUAUUUUUCUAAGGCACCAUAAUCACACUACAAAGAGGUGAAGACACACAACACUACAGUGAAGGAUAGAAUGCUAGUUCCAGUUUGAUUUUCAUUAUUUUUCAAGAUUUUCUUUGGCGCUGAGUAUUCUGUUGAAAAUUUUUUUACACUGAAAUAUCAGGAGAUAGAGUUUUAGGAGAAUACACAACCAGGUGUAUGCCCUGGACAGUCUAUCUCAGAAACACAAAUGUUUUGUUCUUUCCAGAAGGGAAAGAAGAGAGCAGCAACUGGCCACCUGGCACUCCUGCAACUCCUCUCUGAUCAGGAAGGAAACUGCCUGGGCUCCUGUGGAAAAUUAGCUUAUUCUCAUGGCUUUGGAAUAUGUUUCUCCAUUCAUUAAGAAUAUCUUUCUAUCAGAAUGGG